Molecule: long non-coding RNA, 2390 nt
Organism: Musa acuminata AAA Group (dessert banana)
Lineage: Eukaryota; Viridiplantae; Streptophyta; Magnoliopsida; Zingiberales; Musaceae
Exons: 2
Source: RefSeq, a predicted model, not a curated record
CCCUUCUUCUUCCGCUCUUUCGCGCUCGAUUGCUCGAUCCCAUGGCAGCGGCGGCGAUCGAUAUCUUCAUCCCCAUCCCUUCUUCUUCCGCUCUUUCGCGCUCGGUUGCUCGAUCCCAUGGCAGCGGCGGCGAUCGAUAUCUUCAUCCCCAUCCUCCGCUUCCUCCUCUGCUUCGUGGUCACGAUUCCCGCUAUCCUCUCGUGGCGGGUGGUCCCCGUGGCGGUCCCGCGUCACCUCUACGCUACCUUCUCGGAGGCGGACCUCUCCUUCGGCGCCUCCUUCAACCUCCACUUUAUCAUCCCCGUGGGCACGGCCUACGCCGCCGUGCUCCUCAUCCACCGUUACGCCGGCGUCAUCACCUUCUUCACUGGCUUCGAUUAUCUCAUCGGAUGAUUCGUGCUCCUUCCAUUAAUAGCCCAUUGCCAUCACCUCUUCGUUCAAGCUGCAAUCGGUACCACAUUUCCCACUUUCUUGGUUCGAUGAGCUGAUAUACUAGGAAUGGGGUUUCUGGCAAAGGCUGCUGUUUUAUGGAUACAUGUCUGGAUUUACUGCCCGUAUGAAGUACUAAUUUAUCUGGUCAAUCUCAGAAGCUUCUAUUAUCAUAUCUGGUUUGGGUUUUAGUGACUGGUCAGAUUCCUCUCCUCUAAACCCACUAUGGGACUGUGCAAAAAAUGUUGAUAUUGUUUGUAGAGUUUGCUUCUAGUGCAGUUCAACUGCCUCUUGUAUGGAACAUACAAGGCGGCACUUGGCUACAACACUGUAAGGAUUUUUUUUAACUUUCCUUUUAGAUGGAUUUGUUUUUGUAUCAUGUGGUUACUAGUUAGAUUCAGGUCCAGAAAGCUAGACAUUUGCCUCUAUACAGGCACAUGUCUAUGUUGGUCUGGUUCUGGUCUUUUUUUUUUUCUUUUUAGGGUGGUUGCUUUUAUAAAUCAUGCUGUAUUUGGCUGCCCUGGCUUGAGAGCCUUUUUGAGUGUAGGUUGAUAUGAAAUGUGCAUAUGGACCCAUUUAGCCUUCUCUUAAUGCAUGCAUGUAUUUGUUUAUGUAAAUGCUUUGCCGAUGUGAAUGUCUAAAUGCAAUGUAGUAGAGAUAGGAGAGUUUGGCAUUUGCCAUUACAACCACUUCUCAUCUUUUGAAGUACUGAAGCAGGUGAAUUCUUAAGCACAUGUGCAACAACUUGAAUGCAACUAUCAACUCAAUUACAUUGAAAAAAUUCAAUGUAAUAGAAACUCAAUUAUUUGGCUGAAUUUUUACUUGAAUUUUCUUUAAUUAGGUGGUCAUGUUGAGCACUAGUUUAGUUGUAAUCUAAUAUAUGGAUGCCAAUUUUUUACUAUUACAUAAUGCUUGAAAUGAUAAAUUUUAACUGAUAUUACUGAUACUUAUUUUGCCACACUCUUCUUCUAGUUUCACAAGUUUGUACUGAUUAAUCUGCCGGGAAAGUAAGAUGGUUUGUGAGGCAGACCAUGUAAUCCGAGAGGCCAUGUCGUUCCAGAUGUAGACGAAAAACUCGUUGAGAAAGGGAAGAAACCUGGAUUCUUUCAGUUGCCAGCUAUGCAGACCGACAGCGCUGUUUGGCAUGUAAGUUAUAAAUGAGCGUUUGUUGGUACUAGUAUGAAUGUUGUAAUGAGGUGUUUCAUCUGGCAAUUAUACUAGGUUUUGGAAUGCAAGUUUUAUCCUUGAUUUCUAGGUAAGGUUGCAAGCAAGUAUUAUCCUAAUAAGGAUUUUUAGUGUUUCUCCAUGGUUUACAAGGUGCAUUUUUGGGGCCAACUUCUAAUAAUUUUAAGAUAUUUGUCUAUGAUAUCUUGAACUUUACUUGUAUAUUGUAACAUAACCUAUAAAUCCAUCAAAGCCCAGGUAGGCAGUUAUUGUGGUAUCUUUCUGCAUAUAGAUCCAUGAGUUUUUGUUUUUAGUUCAAUAAAGAGCUGCUUUUUUAUGUCAGUAUAAAAAGUACAUAGGACUGCAGAUGAUCUAAGUAAGCUUUUCGUUUUCUUUUUCUGGGAGAAACUUAAAAAUUAACUUUAUCAAUCUAAUCUGGAGGACUACUGUGGCAGAAAAGGUUUAUGGCUUAUGCACAUAAUUCCUCUCAGUACUAAUAAUUUCUCUUUAUGCCUGCACCCUGGCUAUAUUAUAUUCUUUGCUCAAUCAGCAUUGAUGAUUGCAGGUUCACGAGAUAAUUCUCCAUCAAAAGAGCCAACUGCUUGCUAUUUUCUUUUCCUCGUUUCUGUUGAACAGUAAUAUAUAGAUGGCACCAAGCUGUCAACCCGAAGAGUAGGUUUUAUGGAUAGUUAUUGAAUGGCUUCUCAAUUUCUGUGCAUAGGAAUAGUGUUUAUGUUCUCCAAGCUGUCACCUCAACCAAGGAUUUUUAAAGUAAUCUAUUAUGAUUUAUUGAUUCA